GAUGAACGCUGGCGGCGUGCCUAAUACAUGCAAGUCGAGCGAACAGACGAGGAGCUUGCUCCUCUGACGUUAGCGGCGGACGGGUGAGUAACACGUGGAUAACCUACCUAUAAGACUGGGAUAACUUCGGGAAACCGGAGCUAAUACCGGAUAAUAUAUUUAACCGCAUGGUUCAAUAGUGAAAGACGGUUUUGCUGUCACUUAUAGAUGUAUCCGCGCCGCAUUAGCUAGUUGGUAAGGUAACGGCUUACCAAGGCGACGAUGCGUAGCCGACCUGAGAGGGUGAUCGGCCACACUGGAACUGAGACACGGUCCAGACUCCUACGGGAGGCAGCAGUAGGGAAUCUUCCGCAAAGGGCGAAAGCCUGACGGAGCAACGCCGCGUGAGUGAUGAAGGUCUUCGGAUCGUAAAACUCUGUUAUUAGGGAAGAACAAAUGUGUAAGUAACUAUGCACGUCUUGACGGUACCUAAUCAGAAAGCCACGGCUAACUACGUG
Molecule: ribosomal RNA, 497 nt
Filed under: uncultured bacterium
Lineage: Bacteria
Description: partial 16S ribosomal RNA
Rfam family: Bacterial small subunit ribosomal RNA
Source: RNAcentral